Molecule: ribosomal RNA, 867 nt
Filed under: Bacteroidales bacterium
Lineage: Bacteria; Pseudomonadati; Bacteroidota; Bacteroidia; Bacteroidales
Description: bacterial SSU rRNA
Rfam family: Bacterial small subunit ribosomal RNA
Source: RNAcentral
GAGCUCGACUCUGGAACUGCCAUUGAUACUGAAGGUCUUGAAUUUAGUUGAGGUGGGCGGAAUACGUUAUGUAGCGGUGAAAUGCAUAGAUAUAACGUAGAACACCGAUUGCGAAGGCAGCUCACUAAGCUAACAUUGACGCUGAUGGACGAGAGCGUGGGGAGCGAACAGGAUUAGAUACCCUGGUAGUCCACGCCGUAAACGAUGAUUACUCGUUGUGCACGAUACACUGUGCGUGACCGAGCGAAAGCAUUAAGUAAUCCACCUGGGGAGUACGUUCGCAAGAAUGAAACUCAAAGGAAUUGACGGGGGCCCGCACAAGCGGAGGAACAUGUGGUUUAAUUCGAUGAUACGCGAGGAACCUUACCUGGACUUAAAUGUAGAUUGACCGGUUUAGAAAUAGAUCUUCCCUUCGGGGCAAUUUACAAGGUGCUGCAUGGUUGUCGUCAGCUCGUGCCGUGAGGUGUCGGGUUAAGUCCCAUAACGAGCGCAACCCCUAUCGUUAGUUGCUAGCAGGUAAUGCUGAGGACUCUAGCGAGACUGCCACCGUAAGGUGAGAGGAAGGUGGGGAUGACGUCAAAUCAGCACGGCCCUUACGUCCAGGGCUACACACGUGUUACAAUGGCCAGUACAAAGGGCAGCUACCUGGUGACAGGAUGCUAAUCUCUAAAGCUGGUCUCAGUUCGGAUCGGAGUCUGCAACUCGACUCCGUGAAGUUGGAUUCGCUAGUAAUCGUAGAUCAGCAAUGCUACGGUGAAUACGUUCCCGGGCCUUGUACACACCGCCCGUCAAGCCAUGGAAGCCGAGGGGACCUGAAGUUCGUAACCGCAAGGAGCGACCUAGGGUAAAAUUGGUAACUAGGGCUAA